Molecule: long non-coding RNA, 710 nt
Filed under: Medicago truncatula (barrel medic)
Lineage: Eukaryota; Viridiplantae; Streptophyta; Magnoliopsida; Fabales; Fabaceae
Description: lncRNA gene44324
Source: RNAcentral
AUGAAUGUGAUGCAGUAUUUUGACAGUCCCAAAUCUACUAAAGAUAUGGCUUUGGAAGUUCUUAUAAGGUUAGGGUAUUCCUUGCCUAUUAAGCCAAUUUUGUGAGGAUGACUUAGGCUUGAGCCCAAAUUCAAAGAAUAUCGAUACCAACAAGGGUCUGUUAGAUGCUACUACAGAAGAUAAUAUACCAAUCCUUAAACAAAGAAACAAACCAUGAUAUAUAAGGAAAUAUCGAAAACAAUCUUCAGAUUAUCUACAUUACUCUAAAAUAAAAUCAAGAUAUUAUCACAUGUUUUAACAUAUUAUACUGUUUAGGAGGUUGUCAAAGAAAACAUAUUAUACCGUUUAGGAGGUUUUCAAAGAAAAUCAAAUAUCAUGCAAUAAACUUGUUGAAAAUUUGGAGCCUAACUCAUCCUUACAAAACCGGCUUGUAAGGUGAGGAGUGUGUCCUCUUUAUAAACUCUGAUCAAGCUUCCUAUCUAACCAAUGUGGGACUAAAUCCACCCCCUCAAAGACAAGCCAACAUAAGGCAACUAGGGGCAGAUCGCAAUUAAGGUGGCACACCCCCUCACGCUCGGGGCGGGAUUUCCAACAAAACUUAUUAAAAAUUUAAGAUAUUGUCAACAAAAAAAAUAAAAUUAAGAUAAAUAAUAGUAUACCUUGUUUGAUAUAUGAUCAAGAAGGGCUCUAAUAAGCCAGGGUAAAGAGCG